This 383-nucleotide transfer-messenger RNA is filed under the name Sphingomonas turrisvirgatae. The stretch from base 1 to 344 matches the Rfam family "Alphaproteobacteria transfer-messenger RNA". Rfam says of the family: Bacterial tmRNA, also known as 10Sa RNA or SsrA, is named for its dual tRNA and mRNA-like properties. Its role is to liberate the mRNA from a stalled ribosome. The record is from RNAcentral. Lineage: Bacteria; Pseudomonadati; Pseudomonadota; Alphaproteobacteria; Sphingomonadales; Sphingomonadaceae.
CCCCUUCCCAUCGCGGUGCGCGCCUCCUAUAUCGGUCGUGCCGGGUUCGCCCGGCUAUGACGAUAAAUCGUGGCGUAUAAUAGAUGCAGCGGACCCGGGGGCAGUACCCGGCGGCUCCACCAUAAGGUGGUGUUUCUGGACACCGUUUCUGACGGGGCCGAACCAGGAUCGACGUGUAUUGAAAGGCGCUACCUUCGUUCGGAAUGGGACCACCGCGACGGCCCAUACACACAAGUGCCAACGAUAACGAAGCACUCGCUAUUGCGGCCUAACCCUACGUCCUAACGGACCAAGGUUAGACUAAAAUGCGCGGUUGAACCCACCGGGCAACAGAAGGGAAUUCAGCGGUUCGGAGGGCGCCGGGCAACAGAAGCCCCUCCACU